Gracilinanus agilis (Agile Gracile Mouse Opossum) is the source of this 556-nucleotide long non-coding RNA. RefSeq lists it as uncharacterized. The transcript is spliced from 2 exons. NCBI's taxonomy places the organism in Eukaryota, Metazoa, Chordata, Mammalia, Didelphimorphia, Didelphidae. The record is from RefSeq and is a predicted model, not a curated record.
CUCAUCUCUGUUUAAAAAACAAACAAUUCUAUUUCCUCCUGAUAGUUUCCAUCUCAUUCAAAGCCCUUUUGCCAGAGAAUUGCCCUUCUUCUUCCCUCCCCAUGGCCACCAUCCGUAUCUGGGAGGGAGGUGUGUUCCCCUGCUUUCCAAUGUUCCCAGAUUUGGGGGAGUGGAGAAUGGGGGAGAAUAGGGCUUUGACCAUGGAAAUGGCUAGCUUUUCCUACGUCCUUCCCACCCUGGUUAGGGUGAAGAGUCCAUGGGAAGUGUCCCCCCACUCCCAGGCCUAUAUAAGCCCCAGCUCCUCUGAGUUUUUUCCCUUCCCCCCAGAGACCACCACCACUACCACCACAUCCUUCAUCCCCCCUCCCACCACGAAGAUCUGUGAUCCUGGAGAGGUUGGGGAUGGUGUGGGAUCCUCAACCGGCCUCCUGCUGACUGUGACCGUGACUGUGACAGUGACCACCAUAGCAGCCAGUGGCCUCUUUAUUUAAGUCCCUCUUUGCAUUCCUGUGGAAGAAAAUGCUGAGAACAGAAACGAACAACAACAAAAGGCUCA